UAUAUAUAAUCUAGGUGUAGUGUGUGUGUGUGUGUGUGUAUAUAUAUUAUAUAAUUGGAACAAAUUAAUUUACCUACCUACGAAUUAAUUUCUAAUAAUUUACCUACAAAAAAUUAUCGUGUGUAAAUAUCUUUUUUUCACUAAUACAUGGAGAAUAAUUUACCCAUAACAAGAAGAAAUAUAAUUUGAUGUAUUAUAUUGAAAAAUAUUAUGCCAUACCUAUAUUUAUACAACAAUAAAACGUGCCUAAUAUAUUAACAGUACAUGAAAAAUAAUUUACCUACAAGUUAGAUAAGUGUUAUUUGAUACAAAAUAUAUAAUACGGAUUUAGUAUAAUUUUUUUUAAUAAUUGGAACAAAUUAAUUUACUUCCCAAUUAAUGCAAAAUAUAUAUAUCACAAAAAGGUAAAUUUUUGGUAUGAUAUGGAUACAAUUAAUGCAAUACAACAGUUUAUAUAUUUUAUUUCACUUUUUCUACAACUUUUAAUUUGGAAUAAAUUUAGGGAUUUGGGAAAGUGGCAUGUGUGUAAAUAAAUUGCAUUAGUAGGUCAAUAGUGCAUCGAUGUAGUUGCAGAUUUUAAAUUUUGGCUUUUAUUGGACGUUUAUAU
This 607-nucleotide long non-coding RNA is filed under the name Malus domestica (apple). RNAcentral describes it as "long non-coding RNA (MDOM_LNC001667)". Lineage: Eukaryota; Viridiplantae; Streptophyta; Magnoliopsida; Rosales; Rosaceae. The record is from RNAcentral.